GGCCUGAUAUCGUGACUUGGAAUUAUUUAAUCCGUUGGCAUUGUAAAUCUGGAAAGCUCAGUAAAGCUCUUCAUUUGUUUGCUAAGAUGCAAGAAAAGGGGUUCCAUCCUGAUCCUAAGAUCUUCGUCACCAUUNCUUGGCAGAGCAGGGAAAGUGGGACACUAUAAAGGAAAACUUUGAGAUUAUGAAAUCAUGGGGCCAUAAUGAAAGCUUGGUCAUUUAUGCGAUCCUUGUUGAUAUUUACGGGCAAUAUGGUAAAU
RNAcentral lists this unclassified non-coding RNA (260 nucleotides) under Hevea brasiliensis (rubber tree). Lineage: Eukaryota; Viridiplantae; Streptophyta; Magnoliopsida; Malpighiales; Euphorbiaceae. The record is from RNAcentral.